Salvia splendens (bonfire salvia) is the source of this 570-nucleotide long non-coding RNA. RefSeq lists it as uncharacterized. NCBI's taxonomy places the organism in Eukaryota, Viridiplantae, Streptophyta, Magnoliopsida, Lamiales, Lamiaceae. The transcript is spliced from 4 exons. The record is from RefSeq and is a predicted model, not a curated record.
AUAAAUUUCCUCAGCUUUCUGGAGUGCAGUUCCCUGCAUAUACUAAUGAUCCUACAUGCUGUCUUGGAUCGAGUGUAGCAACGACUACCCUGUGCGUCGUGUCACAUCUGUAGAACUGCACGGCAUCAAUCUAAGGGGAUCAAUUCCAGAAUUCCUUGGCUGCUUGCCGUGGUUAACAUAUCAGAAUUUAGCAUACAAUUAUUGUAAUUAGCGGACGGGUGCCAUACUCACUGGUUUAUUUAAGAGAAUCAAUUUGAUUGUAACAGGCAAUUCCGGAUUAUGUCAUGACUCAACAAGCUAUUCGUGCUCAUCGCCAGAUGUCUCAAAAAGAGCCAGAAAAAAGCUCGUCAAAAUACUUGCUGGAGUGAUUCCGGCAAGUAUCCUUACUGUGGUUGGGGCGAUCUGCGCAUGUUGCUGCCGAAAGAAAAAGGUGCCUUCCGCUUCUGCUGCAGCAGGUGUCUUUGACCAAAAUUUGACCAAACUUCAUAUUCUUUUCGACAAUUUGCCCUUUUUAAUUCAUUAUUUAUUAUGUAUUUCGGCAGUAUGAUUUUCUUCUCUUAAAUACUUAUA